Molecule: RNA transcript, 840 nt
Organism: Ananas comosus (pineapple)
Lineage: Eukaryota; Viridiplantae; Streptophyta; Magnoliopsida; Poales; Bromeliaceae
Exons: 3
Source: RefSeq, a predicted model, not a curated record
CUUCUCAUCGUCCGUCCCCCGUGGUAUCUAAUCUGGGUUAGGGUUUCCGUUCGUCGUCUCUAAUCUCUGUCGAAUUGAAAAGCUAGGGUUAGGGUUUCCGACGGGGCGUUGCUCAUCCAUGGCGCUGCGCACGUUCUACAACGAGAUCAAGGGGAUGAAGGUGAGGGAGCUCCCCGGGUACCUGAAGCCGCGGCUCACGUGGGAUUACAUCAAGAAGAGCGCGGACCAGGCCGUGGACCGCUACAUCGAGAAGUACAUCGAGACGAGCUCCGUCGAGCCCCUCUUCCACGUCUGCAUCGGCGGCAUGAUCUUCUCCUACCUCGUCGCCCUCCCCCACGAGCGCCGCCACCUCGAGCACCAGCAAGCUGCCGCCGCCGCCGGAGGAGGCGGCGGCCACCACUGAUCCCGCCGCCCCCAGUCUCUCUGGGCUUCUGAACUUCUUCGAGGACAAUUCGUUCUUUCCAUUCGUUAAGACAGAUGGAAAACGUUGAAGUGAUUCUUAAUGAAAGAUGAUUACAAAAGAGUCGAUAAAAUGGACCGAAGAUCAUUUUCUGGGUUGGUUGUGAUGAAAGCUUGCAUCUCAUUUCUUCGGCAGAUAUUUUACCUACACCAAUGUUCUUCCAUUGCCUUGUUUGCAUGGAAGGUUGGAAUAAACGUUUAGUCUCUUGUUUCUGGGUUUUCCAUCUUGACGAUGUUUUGUUGUCGUGAAUAACUACAUUGCCUUAAGUGCGACAUUUUGUGUUUGAACAAAUUGUAUGGAAAAUACUUUCAGGUAUUGUGAGCACACUUUGCUCUAGUUUCUAAAUUGAUUGAUUACAUUUGUAAGUCCGAUUUACAAUA